This 322-nucleotide ribosomal RNA is filed under the name Sterkiella sp. 1201-1. RNAcentral's name for it is "SSU rRNA". It matches the Rfam family "Eukaryotic small subunit ribosomal RNA", at positions 384 to 709 of the family's 1831-position model. Lineage: Eukaryota; Ciliophora; Spirotrichea; Sporadotrichida; Oxytrichidae. The record is from RNAcentral.
CGGAGAGGGAGCCUGAGAAACGGCUACCACAUCUAAGGAAGGCAGCAGGCGCGUAAAUUACCCAAUCCUGACUCAGGGAGGUAGUGACAAGAAAUAACGGACCGGGGCCUACGCUUCGGGAUUGCAAUGAGUAGAAUUUAAACCCCUUUGCGAGGAUCAAUUGGAGGGCAAGUCUGGUGCCAGCAGCCGCGGUAAUUCCAGCUCCAAUAGCAUAUAUUAAAGUUGUUGCAGUUAAAAAGCUCGUAGUUGAACUUCUGGGAGGGUGCCAAUGUCGGCUUCGUUGCUUGUGCAGCGGCGCCCUUCCAUCCUUCUGUUAACGUUU